GACGAACGCUGGCGGCGUGCUUAACACAUGCAAGUCGAACGGAAAGGCCCUGCUUUCGUGGGGUGCUCGAGUGGCGAACGGGUGAGUAACACGUGAGUAACCUGCCCUUGACUUUGGGAUAACUUCAGGAAACUGGGGCUAAUACCGGAUAGGAGCUCCUGCUGCAUGGUGGGGGUUGGAAAGUUUCGGCGGUUGGGGAUGGACUCGCGGCUUAUCAGCUUGUUGGUGGGGUAGUGGCUUACCAAGGCUUUGACGGGUAGCCGGCCUGAGAGGGUGACCGGCCACAUUGGGACUGAGAUACGGCCCAGACUCCUACGGGAGGCAGCAGUGGGGAAUAUUGCACAAUGGGCGGAAGCCUGAUGCAGCAACGCCGCGCGCGGGAUGACGGCCUUCGGGUUGUAAACCGCUUUCGCCUGUGACGAAGCGUGAGUGACGGUAAUGGGUAAAGAAGCACCGGCUAACUACGUG
RNAcentral lists this ribosomal RNA (468 nucleotides) under uncultured bacterium. RNAcentral describes it as "partial 16S ribosomal RNA". It matches the Rfam family "Bacterial small subunit ribosomal RNA", at positions 28 to 507 of the family's 1533-position model. The record is from RNAcentral.